Molecule: long non-coding RNA, 382 nt
Filed under: Mytilus galloprovincialis (Mediterranean mussel)
Lineage: Eukaryota; Metazoa; Mollusca; Bivalvia; Mytilida; Mytilidae
Source: RNAcentral
UUUUUUUUUAAAUCUAUUAUGUUUCCAGGAUAAACGCAAAAUAUUAAAAGCCGCUGCCGUAAAUCUUCACUUUGAAAAAUUCAAAACACCACUCUCUAUCUGUAAGAGAACAACAGGUCUCAGUAAAAAAUAAAUAAAUGCAGUGUUUUAAGUUCAUUUAGACACCAGAUUAAAAACGCUCAAUUCUCUGGUUUUGUUGGAUUGAUACACACCUUCAAAAAUUUGAAGGCUGAAAUUUCAUUGGCUGAUGUAAUAUAUACAAGGACAGAAAAUAAAAUGACGUGUUGUCAGAUCUUGUAUCCAAAGCUUAAACAGAUGAUCUGUACAUUAUAUAUUAAUAAAUAAAUGUGUUAGACACCGACUCUAGUUUGAGGGAAGGAGC